UUACCAUAUCUCAUUACUUCAUUCAUUAAAUUGAUUCAUUAUUCCUUUUGGGGUUUUUUUCUUGUUCUAUCUAUUGAUGUGGAUUACAAAUUUUCCUAUUUUCUUCUGAUUUCCUGUGUAUGUUUCGUUAUUAAUUAUCGAUUUUUCACUUAUUUCUUAAGAAUAAUGCGGGACAUGAAUAAAGUAGAAUGGAUAGAGAGUAUUCAUAUGGCUGGCUGCCCCAACUAAUUUGGAUUGAUUGAUAUACGGGGGUGCUGCUUUGUGUUUAUAUACUAACAAAUUAUUGAAUUAAGUCGCUUAACUGUUGACCCAAAUAAUCUUUUUCUAGUGCUUGAAAGGGUUGAAUUUUCCUUUAGAUUGUAAAACAAACGCAUUCUUCUGCUACAAUCUGACCUCUAGAAGAUUUGAAAGUUCCGGGUUCCAUACCUACUUUGAACAGUAGGUGUGUAGCAUUUUUGCAUCAACCAUGUUAAUAGUUACAGAGGGUAAAAAAUAAAUAACAUAUACUCUAUCAUCUAUCGUUUAAAUAAGAAAGUCUUGGCUCGGUGUCUUGGAUUAGAGUUAGAGGAGGUCCAGGGUUCAAACCGACUUAACCACAAAUAUUUAAAAACUGCUUGCUUAAAAAGUUUACCCAAAGGAAAGUGGUAAUUUGGGUUGGAACCUCUGACCACAAUAGUCAAAGUUAAGCUGCUAACCAGCUCGCCAAAAAGAACUGAUUAUCAAGUUGUUGUGUGUAUCCUAGCUGGAGUACCCUAAGGUUCUAUAUGAAGCAAGCUAAAAUGGUUUUAAAAAGUGUAUAAAAAAUAAUUCAAACUUGCGACCCUAGAAAGUAAAAUCCAACUUUUCACCGGCGGCACCAUGCACUCACUCGGUACUCCCAGGUGGCAGGAUUAGUAUUUAGAGUAUUUCACUAUUUCUUAUACAUAUAUACAGGAUUUCACCCGAGACGUCCUGGUGGUGUGGCACCCCCACUCUUCUACAUAGAUCCGCCCCUGUAUAAUACCAUUUCACUAUAACAACCAAGUUUUCUUUAGAGCCCAUCUUGUAUGUUAUAUUCUAUAACAGUUUUUUGCCUAUGACAAUAAUAUCCGUCAAUAGAAACCCUCAGGGGUUGGCCUGGUGGCAAUUGACUUGAGCCUUGGGGUGCUCCCUUUCAAGGUCUCAAGUUCGAAACCCACUGGGUGCAAACAAUUUCUGAGGGCCAUCGGACUGGGUAAAACCCUGAAUUACCCGUGGUGCACUUGCGGGAAACUCCUUGCCGAGGGCCUGUGCACCUCCGGGAUUAGUCGGGGCUCAAAGAGCCUCGGACACCCGGUGCUUAAUCAAAAAAUAAUAUCCGUCAAUAGAACAGUACACUCCUUGUAAAGUUAACUUUUUAUAAAAAUAUAGUACUAUUUGUUGUCAUAAAGCCACAUAAAGUAUAGGAUAUUUUAUGUGGAUUUACAUUUAGUAGAGGAAAGGAAGUAAAAUAUUCUUCCACUAAUGUUACAUAAUAUUCUACAUUAAAUGUAGAAUAUCCUUAAUAAUAUUUCAUAUAUUCAUAGUAUCUCUUCAUAUUCACCAUAUCGAGAAUAUCUUAAUGUAGAUAUUCUACAAUCUGUCCAUUAUGCUAACAUCCCCCCUCAAAUUGAUGCCGGUGGAUCAACAAGCAUCAAUUUGCCUACUAGAACCGAUGACGUUGUCGUGCCAUUGAUUUUGUUAACACAUCAGCUAUCUGAAGAUCACUGGAUACAUGUGGAAGAGUAAUAACUCUUCUAUCUACAACUUCUCUGAUAAAAUGACAGUCCACUUCAAUAUGCUUGGUUCUUUCGUGAUACACUGGAUUGGUUGCAAUCUAAAUGGCACUUGUGUUGUCAGCAUGGAGAGGAGUAGGACUAGAUUGAGGAAAUCCUAUUUCUGCAAGUGAACCACGAAGCCAAAUAAUCUCGGAACAAGCAGUAGACAUUGCUCAAUAUUCAGCCUCCGUUGAAGAUUUUGAAACACGAUCUUGCUUCUUGCUCUUCCAAGAUAUCAAAGAAUCUCCGAGAAACAUGCACCAUCCCGUGACGGAGCGGCUAGUAUCAGAACAUCCAGCCCAAUCAGAAUCACUAAACACUUUAAGCUGAAUAGGAGAGCCACUAGGAAAAAAUAAUCCACGAGUAGAUGUUCCUGAGAGAUAUCGAAUGAUGCGACGAACAGCCACUAAAUGUAGAUGACGGGGAGUCUGCAUAAAUUGACUGACUUGUUGAACUGCAAAAGAGAUAUCAUGCCUAGUAAUAGUAAGAUAAUUUAGGCUCCCAACUAAUUGUCGAAACAAAGUUGGAUCAGGAAUAAGAUCUCCUUCAUCACGGCGAUACUUUACAUUCAAUUCCAAUGGAGUAUCAACAGAGGGUGAUUCUUGAAGACCAGCCAAAGCAAUCAAAUCCUGAGUAUAUUUGUGCUGGUUUAAGAAAACACCUAAAGAAUUAUAAUGAACUUCCAACCCCAAGAAAUAUGUUACCAAGAUCUUUCAUAUGAAAAGAAUCCUUAAAUUUCUGCUGGAGGCUAGUGAUUGAUGAAGAAUCAGUAUCUGUGAUAAUGAUGUCAUCUACAUAUACCAAAAGAAGAACACAACCUGUAGAUGUUUUCCGAAGAAACAAAGAUAGAGUCAUAUUUACUUUGUUCAAAAGAGAAUUGAAGCAAUGUAGAUCGAAACUUGUCAAACCAAGCUCUGGGAGCUUGUUUUAAUCCAUACAAAGAUCGCUUCAACUUGCAAACGUCUGAUGUGGGUGAUGAAAACAAACCAGGUGGAGGUUUCAUAUAAAUAUCUUCUUUCAGAUCACCAUGGAGAAGCAUUUUUUACGUCCAUUUGAUGAAGAGGCCAGGUCUGUGAUGCAGCAAUGGCAAUAAUAGUUCGCACCGUAGUCAUUUUUGCUACUGGUGCAAAAGUCUCCUCAUAAUCCACACCAUACUCUUUGUUUGUUACCAAGGACAACCAAGCGAGCUUUGUACCUAUCAAGAGUUCCAUCAGAAUGAAGUUUAAUUGAAUAAACCCAUUUACAUCCAAUUGGCCGGACAUUUGAAGGACAUGAAACAAUGUCCCAUGUGUCAUUUUCUUUAAGAGCCAAAAGUUCUUCCUCUAUUGCUUUCUGCCAACAUUCAUGCUUGGAAGCUUGUGAGUAACAAGUUGGAACAGAAAUGGUGGAUAAAGUAGAGGAAAAACCAUAUCAAUUAGGAGUACUUCGCAGUCUAGUAGAUCGCCGAGUAGGCUCAAGAGAAGUAGGCCUUGAAGAAAUCUCAGAUUCUAGUUGUGGAGCAGUCUCAGGUGGCGGAUCAGUAUCGGGAGGGGGUAAAGCUGGCCGACGUCGUUCAUACACAAAUCCAGGUUUGAACCACUUAGAAGAAGAUGACAAAUCCUCAAAAGUAGGAAGAAUAGGAGAAACAGAAGAUGACUCAACAUGAGUAGGAAAGAAAUACUGAUUCUCAAAGAAAACAACAUUUCUAGAAAUAUGAAAUUUGUUAGAACUUGGAUCAUAGCAAAUAAACCCUUUCUGAGAAGUACUAUAACCCAUAAAAGCACAUUUAGUAGACUGAGCAGAAAGUUUAUUGCGUUGAGAAGGAGGCAGAUGUACAAAACAAACACAACCAAAUGUAUGAAAAUUAUGAUAGCUAGAAUUAUGAUGAUAAAGGUGAUAAUAUGGAGACUCAAGAUUUAACACUUUAGAUGGCAACCUAUUAAUUAAAUAGACAGCAGUAGACAAAGCUACCACCCAGUAUUUGGAUGGGACAGAGGACUCAAUCAAUAAAGUACGAGUGACAUCUAAGAGAUGACGAUUUUUAUGCUCAGCAACCCCAUUUUGUUGUGGCGUAUAUGGGCAAGAGCGUUGUGAGACAAUUCCUUUCUCAAGUAAGAAAUUAUUGAAUUCAUGAGACAUAUAUUCUCCACCAGAAUCAGAUCUUAAUAUUUUGAUGCAUGUAGAAAAUUGAUUCUCAAUAUAAGCCAAAAAUGUCUUGAAUAUGGAAAAUACCUCAAAUUUGAAACGGAGAAAUAUACCCAUGUAAAUCGACUAUAAUCAUCUAUAAAUGUCACAAAGUAUUUGAAAUGAGCAUGAGAAGUAAUUGGUGAAAUGCCCCAAACAUCACUAUGAAUGACAUCAAAACAUUUUGUAGCACGACUACCAAAAUUAGGAAAAGGAAGAGUUUUACUUUUGCCUAAUUUACAAGUUGAACAAUCAAAGGAAGCAGCUGAAAAUUGAUUUUUAUUUCCCAAUAAACCAGAAUUCGAUAAAUGAGACAACACAAUAGAAUUUGAAUGUCCUAGACGCUUAUGCCAAACCUCAAUCUUACUAGCAGUAGAAAUACAAGCAAAAGAUAGAGCAGGAGGAAUGGAAAAAUGUAUAGGAAACAAUCUUCCAACUUUAGGCCCCUUCGCGAUUAUCGUCCCCGACACCUGAUCCUGCACAAGACAACCAUUACGAGAAAAAUUCACAUCACAAUUAUUUUCUACCAAUUGUUCAACUGAAAUAAGACUAGUUGAGAGUUUUGGUGAAACAAAAACAUUCUUGAAAGUUGGAGUAAUGUCCCCAACCUUGGUAAUGGGUAAAUUACUAGCAUUGGCAACCUGAAUCUGUGAUGGACCGUGAUACUUACGAACAUUUUUUAGUAUACUUGUUGAGUUGGUCAUAUGAUUGGAAGCACCAGAAUCAACAAGCCAAAAAUUAGAUGCAGCAUCAUUACCUUGUAAUCCCAAAGCCGAAAAGGCUGACACGAUCAUUUGUUGGACCAUUUCAGGAGUAAGAAUUUGUCCUGUAGAAGAUGAGUUGUCAGUUGUGGAACCAUUUACCUCAGCUUGAAAAGCAUUGACCCUACGAUUUUGAGGGUGUGUGGGACACUCUUUGAUAAUAUGUCCAUGUUGUUUACAGUAGUUACAAAACUUCUUGCCACAAUUGCUAGCAAUAUGACCAUAUUGCUUGCAGUUAUAGCAUUGAGUUCUAGUCAUAGCCCUGCCCUUUCCUUUUCCUUGAGCAGCAAAUGCAACAGUGACAUCAUUUGCUUGCUUGAAAGCAUUUUGUGUGACAAGACGCUGCUCUUGACAAAGUAAUUCCCUAAAACAAACAUCCAAAAAGGGAGAUGGGUCACGAUUCAUCAAGUUAGAGCGAACACUCUCAAAAUCGUAUCGCAAUUUCAUCAAAAAUUGGUCUCGCUUGCUUUGCUCAUGAACUGCUUGAAUUAUAGAGAGAGAUUCAGCAGGUAUGUUACCAUAAACAAUAUCAGUAAAUUCAGCCCAUAAAUUCUGAAAUCCAGAAUAAUAAUCCUGAAUAGAGAGACCUCCUUGAGAGUAAUUAGCAAUUUCAUGCUCUAGCUGAAAUCUUUUAGCGCUAUUGUCUUGAUUGUAAACCUUUUGUAAAUAAUCCCACAUGGCCUUUGCAGUCUUGUACGACCUGAGAUUAAGAACCAAUAAGAGGGUCAAUUGACUCUAAAAUCCAUGUCAUCACCCGAGCAUCCUUGACCUUCCACUGACCUAGCUUUGUAAGAUCAUUAGGAGCAGGAUCACUUCCAUCUAUAUGGCCCCAUAAUUCUUUUCCCGUGACAAAAAGUUGAAAUUGAAAUUCCCAAGCUGAAUAAUUUUUUCCAGUGAAACGAACACUGAAAGACUCAAAUUGAUGUGAAGUUAUGUUUCUGAAUAGAGAAAAUCAAAAACACAAUGACACAAAAAAAUAGCUAGAAUAACCAAGACCAAAACCAAAACCAAAAGCCCUAGAUUCUUAGGACUGCUUGUUGACGAACAGUCAAGAGAACUAAACUUUCAAUUUUUUUUUUUUUUUGAAAGAACCACAAAUGAAAGACACUAUGAAUCAAAAUAAUGAGAAGAAGGCUCUAAUACCAUGUCAAGAAUAGAGAAAACACAAGAGAAAUUGAAGAAUGACUAUCUCAAUUACUUGAUUCCCUUACAUCAGAAUACAUUGGUAUUUAUAUACAAGAGAAAUAAGAGAGGAAAGGAAGUAAAAUAUCCUACACUAAAUGUAAAUCCUACAAAAUAUUCUUCCACUAA
Molecule: long non-coding RNA, 6010 nt
Organism: Lycium barbarum (goji berry)
Lineage: Eukaryota; Viridiplantae; Streptophyta; Magnoliopsida; Solanales; Solanaceae
Exons: 2
Source: RefSeq, a predicted model, not a curated record